GGUGAACGCUGGCGGCGUAGCCUAACACAUGCAAGUCGAGCGGUGCAGUUUGAAGCUUCGGUGGAAAGCUGCAUAGCGGCGGACGGGUGAGGAAAACGUAGGAACGUGCCCCUUGGAGUUGGAUAGCCACGGGAAACUGUGGGUAAACCGACAUAGACUCGAGAGAGUAAAGGCCGAAAGGUGCCAAGGGAGCGGCCUGCGGCCCAUCAGGUAGUUGGUAGUGUAAAGGACUACCAAGCCGACGACGGGUAGCCGGUCUGAGAGGAUGGCCGGCCACAAGGGCACUGAGAGACGGGCCCUACUCCUACGGGAGGCAGCAGUGGGGGAUUUUGGACAAUGGGCGAAAGCCUGAUCCAGCGACGCCGCGUGGAGGACGAAGCCCUUCGGGGUUGUAAACUCCUUUUCUCAGGGAAAAAGGAUGAUGGUACCUGAGGAAUAAGCCCCGGCUAACUACGUG
Molecule: ribosomal RNA, 457 nt
Filed under: uncultured bacterium
Lineage: Bacteria
Description: bacterial SSU rRNA
Rfam family: Bacterial small subunit ribosomal RNA
Source: RNAcentral